GCCGCCAUCGUCUAGUGGCUAGGACGUCUCCCUCUCACGGAGGCAACCGGGGUUCAAUUCCCCGUGGCGGUACCA
RNAcentral lists this transfer RNA (75 nucleotides) under Candidatus Buchananbacteria bacterium RIFCSPHIGHO2_01_FULL_40_35. RNAcentral's name for it is "tRNA-Glu". It matches the Rfam family "tRNA". From Rfam's summary of the family: Transfer RNA (tRNA) molecules are approximately 80 nucleotides in length. Their secondary structure includes four short double-helical elements and three loops (D, anti-codon, and T loops). Lineage: Bacteria; Candidatus Buchananiibacteriota. RNAcentral also lists the same sequence under 2 other names. The record is from RNAcentral.